This 299-nucleotide long non-coding RNA is filed under the name Manihot esculenta (cassava). RNAcentral's name for it is "long non-coding RNA (MESC_LNC012333)". Lineage: Eukaryota; Viridiplantae; Streptophyta; Magnoliopsida; Malpighiales; Euphorbiaceae. The record is from RNAcentral.
UUUUCUAAUUCCUCCAACCCCAAACCCCUGCUUGUGUAUUAAAUCUCAAGAGCACUGAAGAAAAGAAUGUUUUUGAACCUAGAUUCUGUAUCUCAUGGAUGAUAUAUAUAUCUAACAGGAAGUCCAUUUGAAUUUUAAGAACGUUUUUGAGCCUAGAUUCUGUAUCUCAUAGAUGAUAUAUAUAUCUAACAGGAAGUCCAUUUGAAUUUUAAAUCUCUCAACUACGCAGCUAUACAACAUUGCACUCUCUUUCUUUCCUUAUGUUUAUACGUUUUUCUUCAUUUUUAUCACGCAGCUGG